RNAcentral lists this long non-coding RNA (462 nucleotides) under Mus musculus (house mouse). RNAcentral's name for it is "long non-coding RNA chr2:155546384-155546846". Lineage: Eukaryota; Metazoa; Chordata; Mammalia; Rodentia; Muridae. The record is from RNAcentral.
AUAUCUGGAAUACUAUGGAGUAAGACCAUUUUUGCUAGCUAUAACCAAGGUUUCUAGAACCAAAGAAAGCACUCAACUCUUCUUAAAAUCAAUAAUAGUUAUGCUUGGGAUAAAACUGGAUUUUAUCUAGGUAAGAGUUGUGCUUAUCACUGGGCAGUGGUGGCACACGCCUUUAAUCCCAGCACUUGGGAGGCACAGGCAGGCGGAUUUCUGAGUUUGAGGCCAGCCUGGUCUACAAUGUGAGUUCCAGGACAGACAGGGCUAUACAGAGAAACCCUGCCUCAAAAAACAACAAACAAACAAACAAACAAAAAAGGAGUUGUGCUUAUGUAUAUAAAGCAAAACAAACUGAAUAAAACCAGAGUAAUUUGGCAAAAGGUAGUUGAGGCUCAUGGAAACAAUGGCGUUGUUUGUGCCAAAUUCCAAAGCAACUUUACUACAAAGGUCACUGGACACAGAGUA